This 253-nucleotide ribosomal RNA is filed under the name uncultured bacterium. Its description in RNAcentral is "partial 16S ribosomal RNA". It matches the Rfam family "Bacterial small subunit ribosomal RNA", at positions 524 to 776 of the family's 1533-position model. The record is from RNAcentral.
UACGUAGGGUGCAAGCGUUGUCCGGAAUUAUUGGGCGUAAAGAGCUCGUAGGCGGUUUGUCGCGUCUGCUGUGAAAACUCGGGGCUUAACUCCGGGCCUGCAGUGGGUACGGGCAGACUAGAGUGCGGUAGGGGAGACUGGAAUUCCUGGUGUAGCGGUGAAAUGCGCAGAUAUCAGGAGGAACACCGGUGGCGAAGGCGGGUCGCUGGGCCGUAACUGACGCUGAGGAGCGAAAGCGUGGGGAGCAAACAGG